Molecule: ribosomal RNA, 441 nt
Filed under: uncultured bacterium
Lineage: Bacteria
Description: partial 16S ribosomal RNA
Rfam family: Bacterial small subunit ribosomal RNA
Source: RNAcentral
CCUACGGGAGUCCGCAGUGGGGAAUAUUGGGCAAUGGAGGCAACUCUGAACCAGCAAAGCCGCGUGAGCGAUGAAGGUCUUCGGAUUGUAAAGCUCUGUCGCAGGGGACGAAGUAUGACGGUACCCUGUAAGAAAGCACCGGCAAACUACGUGACAGCAGCCGCGGUAAUACGUAGGGGGCUAGCGUUGUCCGGAAUUACUGGGCGUAAAGGGAGUGUAGACGGGUUGUCAAGUUAAGUGUGAAAGCCUGCGGCUUAACCGCGGAAUUGCACUUAAAACUGACUCGCUAGAGUGCAGUAGAGGGGAGUGGAAGUCCUGGUGUAGCGGUGGAAUGCGUAGAGAUUAGGAGGAACACCAGAGGCGAAGGCGGCUCACUGGACUAAAACUGACGUUGAGGCUCGAAAGCGUGGGGAGCAAACAGGAUUAGAUACCCCAGUAGUC